Non-coding RNA from Malus domestica (apple), 224 nucleotides. Lineage: Eukaryota; Viridiplantae; Streptophyta; Magnoliopsida; Rosales; Rosaceae. The record is from RefSeq and is a predicted model, not a curated record.
UUGCCAAACCUGUGGAGAGGAAGGACAUAACAAAAGAAGAUGUCCACAAAGGCUACUACAAUCACAACAAGGUUUUGUGCCCACAAAAGAGGAAACUGGUGCACAUCAUCACUCGGGGGCCGCUCCAUCUCAAACUAGGCCACAAGGAACUUCUAAACUACAUGUGUACCGAGGCGGUCGUGUGAAUCAAGUCACAAGAAAGGCUAAUGAAAUGGCAUCACAAC